UAUAAACUCACAUAUUUUUGCCAAAAGUGUACAAGCAGUCUCAUUUCACUGGGACAAAAAAUAUUUUUGUUCUCCACAGGUCACUGAAUGAAGUCAUUGUACAAUUCAGAGAAGCUAUACAUAGAAACUGAACUGGGUGUGAAAAACAAUACUGUGUCACUUACAGUUGAACUGAAACAUUGUGAAUGUGUUAAUACCUGCUAUAAAACAAUGUUUUAUCUAAUAAACAGUAUUAACCCGCUUGCUAAAUAGGCUUUGACUUAUGCACGUAUUUCCAGAACUGUUCAACAUCUCAUACUGAUACAGGAUCCAUACAGUUGCUAAUUUUUAGUUUUAAUAGGGUAUAAGCAAAAAAUAAUAGAA
Molecule: long non-coding RNA, 363 nt
Filed under: Bos taurus (domestic cattle)
Lineage: Eukaryota; Metazoa; Chordata; Mammalia; Artiodactyla; Bovidae
Description: long non-coding RNA NONBTAT001255
Source: RNAcentral